This is an RNA transcript of Scophthalmus maximus (turbot), 2273 nucleotides long. RefSeq lists it as uncharacterized. The record is from RefSeq and is a predicted model, not a curated record. The transcript is spliced from 3 exons. Lineage: Eukaryota; Metazoa; Chordata; Actinopteri; Pleuronectiformes; Scophthalmidae.
AGGAAACACUUUCUUUAGUGUUAGGAGCAGCGAAGACAUUUUUCGAAUCCAGAGCUUGAAGAGAGUUUAAAGCUUCAGGACGUCUCACACAAUGGAUGAACCCAACAUUUCAGCCGAUUCGUUUCGUCCGCUCGUCGAGUCUUUUUUCACGAGGAUGACAGCGGAGCAGUGGAGCCUGUUGAAGUCUGGCAAACCGGACGAUGCCACGAAGGUGCAGUUGGCAGAACUUCUGCUGAACAUAAUAUCGACCAUUUCGACAGCCCUGGUAAAGUCUCGGGGACGUUCACGCACGCCCGUGUCCAUGGAGAGUGCUCGGAGCAAUCUGUGCGACUCGCUCGCUCAAAGUUUUGCACCAGGCAUCUCGACAAAGUCUGAGGAUUUGGAUCAAUUCACAGACAUGGUUUCAAAGGAGGUGAUGACGAGUGUCCAGUCCAGUUUGUCUUGUGCGCCGCCCGUCGGUGCGUCCUCUGAGGAGCCCGAUCCUUGUUGCUUCACUGAGCCAAAGAAACUGCAUAAAAUGAUCUGUUGCGUCUGCAGAGUGUUAAAGACUUUCUCGGCCAAAAUCAAACGCUUGUUCAAGCCUCAACCGCCUAGACAAAGACGCCAGGCCACGCCUCCUCGGACACGGGACACCGAAGACCAAUUAAAUCGGAGGAUAACGACCUCGUCAGACUUUGACAUGUCAUCGUUCACUUCUGAAGAGUCGACAACCUCAGAUGUCUCAUCAGAGGACAAUGUCGACGGUCAGAAUGGCAAGAUCUAUGAGAAAAUAAUUAACAAGGAGGUGAAUGGUGUCAUUGAACCUCUUAUGGAUGAACUGUCCAACCCCGACUACAACAUGCUGCAAUCUCAAGCCUCUGUGGAGAUUAAAGCUAUUGCAAAAAAAAUUGCUCCCUUGAUUCUGAAUGAGCACAUAAACAUUUUUUCAAGCCCCAAAUCCGGAGGAGUAGGGAAGAUGAUGGAGAACCUUUUUGCAAAGACUUUUGCCACAGCAACCAUACUGAAAAUGCUGAGAGAAGUCCAGAGCAAAUUCCACAGGGAAGACUUUGGUUUCCCUGACGACAAAAAGGAAAUGAAGACUUUGAUGGCGGAUGUCGACUCUCUGCUUGAUGGAAGUGGUGACCAUUGUAUGUUACAGACGUUCAAAAGACUUUCACGUGCAGACAUGCUUGACUUCACAGAGGAAUUUGCAGAUCUCUUCUACCAGCACGCCACAGCUGCGAGGAAGCCAGAUGCAGUGAUGACACUGUCGGUUCCUGAGUCAGACAGAAACAUGUAUGCAGACAUAAAGAGGCUAGCAAUGUAUUUCCUGUCAUUGAUGAGCUGGUGGAUGAACAACCAGGUUGCCUGCUAUAGAGACAGAGUGACACUCGCUUUGAUGGGCAACGAAUCCUCGGCAGCACCGGAGGCCUCAAAGGGCAACGUCAUGGACUCAACAAAAGAACAGGCAGAACAACAAAAAAUGAUUGUCAAGGUCCUCGUGGACCAGGUCGUCACAAAGAUACAUCAAAUGGCAAAAGUGGCCUGCACUCCCACAACCGCUCUCGCUCUUCAUCUGUUCGAGAACACAUGGGCCAAGGUCCAAGACAUUGACCUGGAUAUCCCCCCAAAAAUAUUCAGAAACCUUGACAAGGCCGUUUGGGAGGACCUGUGUAAGAGGUGGGCCUGUCCAGUGUUGCUCCUGGUGGCCCUACGUUUAGGGGAACCCGAGGUGGGGAAGUGCAUCGCCUCCUCUAUAAGAAGUCGCCUGUCCAAAAAACCAAGUGCCAUCUACAGAUUCUUCUCUGUGAGAAGAAAGGCUUCAGAAGAAACGUGGUUGAUGCCAUUUAGGUGACACAUAAUAUUCAUCAGUUUUUUUAUCCAGGUGACCUCCCGCUCCACUGGCUUCUGGCCUUGAAGAGGUAGAGGCCAGUGGGGCAGGACUCGAGGACCUCCGGGUUCGACAGGAUGAACUCGCAGGCAGAUGACAAGGGGUCGAUUCACAUCCACGAUGGCUCAUGACUGGGAAUCGAUCCAUCUGGCAGUUGUCCUGGAUACUGUGCUGCUUUCAGUCUUGCAGGGAAGUUGGAAACGUCAAAUCCGAAUGUCUGGCUGUGGAACUGCACGAUCUGGCGCAGUUUAUUGCUCUUAUGGGGUUCGCUUGAAAACCUUUCCUCCCCUUCGUCUCCUCGAGACCGAUGAAAAAUGUCACAGGGUCAAGGAAUGAUGAGAAGGAGAAUCCCUGAGGAGUUAGGAAACGAGAGCAGCGAUGCAAAGGAGGUCAAACUUCACUU